Long non-coding RNA from Poecilia latipinna (sailfin molly), 740 nucleotides. RefSeq lists it as uncharacterized. The record is from RefSeq and is a predicted model, not a curated record. NCBI's taxonomy places the organism in Eukaryota, Metazoa, Chordata, Actinopteri, Cyprinodontiformes, Poeciliidae. The transcript is spliced from 3 exons.
AAAACUGGUGUUAUGUGCUCUAUCUUCCUGGUUUUAGUCAGAACUCCAGCAACAACAUUCUGGAUCAAGCUGCAGCUCGACCAUUGAUUUGUUAGUCAGAUCUAUUAAGACACUGCUGCAGUAAUCAAUGCCACUAAAGAGAAACCCCUGGAUGAGUUUCUCUGAUGCUGAGACAUUAGUCCUCUGAUCCUGGAAAUGUUCUUCAGCUGAUAGAAGGCCCACUUUAGAACCGUCUUUAUGUGGUUCUGAUCUCCUGCAGCAGUGGCUCUCUGAACCCAGAUCAUGUUGCCGAUCCAACAUCAUGUGUCAGGACCAGGGCCAUUGAUUGGGUCAAACUGCUGAGCAAGAAGAGAUGAAACUGAAGAAGCCGUGAAUAAUUAAUAAACCCUCGGACACACGAACCGCUGAAUCAGCUGAGAGAGACUAGACAUCCUUCAUCUCGCUGAGCUGCUGGACGGAGGCCCGGGUUCUGAACAGAACCAGAACCCUAUCCUCCCAGAGUCUCAGGGUCCAGAUUGUUUUAAAGCAUCAGCCUCUCCGGGUGCUGAUAUCCAGUUCUGAUAGGUCCAAACCAGCCGACAGGGACAGACAGCUGCAUGUCCUCUGGAGCAAAAACAGGACAACACUCUAAAGGACUCGCCCUCUUCUUCUUCACAAACACUUCCUUCCUCUUCCUGGUCCUCCAGACUCUGAGGGGUUUUGCUGAAGAGCAAAGAGACAGAGAGGACUCCAGCUGUAUU